RNAcentral lists this ribosomal RNA (492 nucleotides) under uncultured bacterium. RNAcentral describes it as "partial 16S ribosomal RNA". It matches the Rfam family "Bacterial small subunit ribosomal RNA", at positions 29 to 507 of the family's 1533-position model. The record is from RNAcentral.
AGUGAACGCUGGCGGUAGGCCUAACACAUGCAAGUCGAACGGCAGCACAGUAAGAGCUUGCUCUUACGGGUGGCGAGUGGCGGACGUGUGCGGAAUACAUCGUACUCUACUUUUUCUUGGGGGAUAUCGUAGGGAAACUUACGCUAAUACCGCAUACGACCUACGGUUUAAAUCAGGGGAUCUUCUGACCUUUCUCGUUUGUUUUAGCCGAUGUCGGAUUAGCUAGUUGGCGGGGUAAAGGCCCACCAAGGCGACGAUCCGUAGCUGGUCUGAGAGGAUGAUGAGACACACUGGAACUGAGACACGGAACAGACUACUACGGGAGGCAGCAGUGGGGAAUAUUGGACAAUGGGCGCAAGCCUGAUACAGCAAUACCGCGUGGGAGAAGAAGGACUUCGGGUUGGAAAGCCCUUUUGUUGGGAAAGAAAAGCAGCAGGUUAAUACCCCGCUGUUAUGACGGUACCCAAAGAAUAAGCACCGGCUAACUUCGUG